CCUAGCGUUGUGAUUAUAUCCGACGAACCCAAGCCAGGACCUUCCAAACAACAAUCUGACUUUGGUCCGACCCAACGGGAGUUAGUGUAUGAUGAUACCGAUAGUGUGUCAGCAAGCCAUGGGAAAAGACGGAAAACAGGUUGUGUGGAAAGAAAACGGGGACAUAACAAAAAGCACAGUGGUAAG
This is a long non-coding RNA of Helianthus annuus (common sunflower), 186 nucleotides long. RefSeq lists it as uncharacterized. The transcript is spliced from 3 exons. Lineage: Eukaryota; Viridiplantae; Streptophyta; Magnoliopsida; Asterales; Asteraceae. The record is from RefSeq and is a predicted model, not a curated record.